UGUGUACUCCCUCCGUUCCAAAAUACUUGACUUCCAUUUGUCCAAAAAUGGAUGUACCUAUAUACUAAAACAUGUCUAGAUAUGUAUAUAUUUUCACAAAUAGAAGGCAUGUAUUUUUCAACGGAGGGAGUAGAAU
Molecule: non-coding RNA, 136 nt
Organism: Triticum aestivum (bread wheat)
Lineage: Eukaryota; Viridiplantae; Streptophyta; Magnoliopsida; Poales; Poaceae
Source: Rfam